UUGUCUCUCUCUCUCUCUCUCUCUCUCUCUCUGUUUAUUCUGGCCUUAAUUCAGAACAGAGCUGAAGUUCAGAUUUAAAGCCUAAUAAUCGAGUGACGAAAGCGAGACUAAUGUGUGUGCGUGCACGCACGCGUGCAGUGACCGGGUGGACUUGCUUUGCGCAUGCGCACUCCUAUCACGGAAAAGCGGCGCUCAAUAAUGAAAAAGCGCAUCAAUGAGCAGCGGCUAUAAAAGGAGCGACUCCCUCCAGUGCUGAUGCCUGCUUCACUAACUGGACUUUUACAGUCCCUACAGGAUCCCACAGCACACACACACACACACACACACACACUGCAGGACUGUACCACAACACGUUUAAAGAACGAAAAAUUAUGGUUUCCAUCAGAAGUUUGGAUAAAACCAUGGUGUUUCUGUGUGUGUGUGUUUUGUACAACAGCAUAAGGACAGACAGCAGACCACUGAGCCGGAGGUCCGUCAGUGAGGUUCAGCUGAUGCACAGCGUCGGUGUGCGCAAACACAUACAGCAGAGGCAGGACUGGCUGCAGGAGCACAUGCAGGACAUACACACUGCCCCAAUGCAUGGUGGGAAAAUCAGCAGCGCACGCAUCAUGAUGGAGCACUCGCCGUCCAAAGGCGUUAUGCCUGACACACCAAAAAGAGACGUGGUGGAAACACUGGAGAUACAAUGAAACCUGGACACUUCGCUGUGUCUUAGAAGAGCCAUCUGUAUAAACGUUCCAUGUCUCAUCUCAAUCUCAUUCGUGUUAAAUAUAUUGCUAUUUAUUUUUUUCUAUUUAUAUAUAUUUAAGUAUUUAUAUAGAUUUGUGGAUUUAAAAAAAUUCUGAAGUACUCCUGCUUGUUAUAAAUAUGUUACAUACACAUGUAUUUAUAGAACUUUUAUUUUAGAAAAAAAAUCUAUAUCUAUAAGAAUGCACUUUUGUUUCUUUCAUUUUAAUAAGCUGAAAUAAUGCUUACUGAAGCUAAGCAUAUACUAGAGUAGGACCAAAAUACUUUUUCUUAAAGAAAUUUAGAAUAAAAAAAUAUAAAAUAUAUUUUUAAAACAGAAAUGAGCAUGAAAAAAAAAAGAAAAUGUAAUGUACUGAUAUAUGUUUAUAGUUUUGGAAUAAAAUCACAAAACAUUUUAUU
Ictalurus furcatus (blue catfish) is the source of this 1146-nucleotide RNA transcript. It is a transcript of the gene named parathyroid hormone 1a, with no coding region annotated. The transcript has 3 exons. The record is from RefSeq and is a predicted model, not a curated record. Lineage: Eukaryota; Metazoa; Chordata; Actinopteri; Siluriformes; Ictaluridae.